This 496-nucleotide ribosomal RNA is filed under the name uncultured bacterium. Its description in RNAcentral is "partial 16S ribosomal RNA". It matches the Rfam family "Bacterial small subunit ribosomal RNA", at positions 29 to 507 of the family's 1533-position model. The record is from RNAcentral.
AUGAACGCUGGCGGCGUGCCUAAUACAUGCAAGUCGAGCGAACAGAUGAGGAUCUUGCUCCUCUGACGUUAGCGGCGGACGGGUGAGUAACACGUGGAUAACCUACCUAUAAGACUGGGAUAACUUCGGGAAACCGGAGCUAAUACCGGAUAAUAUAUUGAACCGCAUGGUUCAAUAGUGAAAGACGGUUUUGCUGUCACUUAUAGAUGGAUCCGCGCCGCAUUAGCUAGUUGGUAAGGUAACGGCUUACCAAGGCAACGAUGCGUAGCCGACCUGAGAGGGUGAUCGGCCACACUGGAACUGAGACACGGUCCAGACUCCUACGGGAGGCAGCAGUAGGGAAUCUUCCGCAAUGGGCGAAAGCCUGACGGAGCAACGCCGCGUGAGUGAUGAAGGUCUUCGGAUCGUAAAACUCUGUUAUUAGGGAAGAACAAAUGUGUAAGUAACUAUGCACGUCUUGACGGUACCUAAUCAGAAAGCCACGGCUAACUACGUG